This 253-nucleotide ribosomal RNA is filed under the name uncultured bacterium. Its description in RNAcentral is "partial 16S ribosomal RNA". It matches the Rfam family "Bacterial small subunit ribosomal RNA", at positions 524 to 776 of the family's 1533-position model. The record is from RNAcentral.
UACGUAGGGGGCUAGCGUUGUCCGGAUUUACUGGGCGUAAAGAGCACGUAGGCGGCUCGCUAAGUCGACCGUGAAAUCCCUCGGCCUAACCGAGGGGGGUCGGCCGAUACUGGCGGGCUUGAGGGUGGCAGAGGGAAGCGGAAUUCCCGGAGUAGUGGUGAAAUGCGUAGAUACCGGGAGGAACACCAGUGGCGAAGGCGCCUUCCUGGGCUUCUCCUGACGCUGAGGUGCGAAGGCGUGGGGAGCGAACCGA